GGCAACCUGCCUGUAAGACUGGGAUAACUUCGGGAAACCGGAGCUAAUACCGGAUAAUCCUUUUCCUCUCAUGAGGAAAAGCUGAAAGACGGUUUACGCUGUCACUUACAGAUGGGCCCGCGGCGCAUUAGCUAGUUGGUGAGGUAACGGCUCACCAAGGCGACGAUGCGUAGCCGACCUGAGAGGGUGAUCGGCCACACUGGGACUGAGACACGGCCCAGACUCCUACGGGAGGCAGCAGUAGGGAAUCUUCCGCAAUGGACGAAAGUCUGACGGAGCAACGCCGCGUGAGUGAUGAAGGUUUUCGGAUCGUAAAACUCUGUUGUUAGGGAAGAACAAGUACAAGAGUAACUGCUUGUACCUUGACGGUACCUAACCAGAAAGCCACGGCUAACUACGUGCCAGCAGCCGCGGUAAUACGUAGGUGGCAAGCGUUGUCCGGAAUUAUUGGGCGUAAAGCGCGCGCAGGCGGUCCUUUAAGUCUGAUGUGAA
RNAcentral lists this ribosomal RNA (492 nucleotides) under Niallia circulans. RNAcentral's name for it is "bacterial SSU rRNA". It matches the Rfam family "Bacterial small subunit ribosomal RNA", at positions 120 to 598 of the family's 1533-position model. The record is from RNAcentral. Lineage: Bacteria; Bacillati; Bacillota; Bacilli; Caryophanales; Bacillaceae.